CGUUUAUUCAUAUAACGUACGCCUAUGUUCGAUCCGUCGCUUGUCCGGGGGUUAAUGAUUGGGCUUGAUUGCUUGGCAAACAUGGGCGAGCCUCGAAUCAACCUCCCGUCCCACUGGUCCACCCCCUUCGUCGCGACGACUUCCUCCGGGGUGUUGCACGUUGUGUCCUGAGAAAUGUUUGGACUUCAGCGGAUUUGGAAGUAAUAUCAUUUCCAGAAAGUGCAUUAAUCAGAUAAAGAAACUACUACGUGUUGUAUUUAUCAUCAAAUGCUCUGCAAUCGUCGCACUUCAAAAAUUUUAUCAGCGUCGCAACGAGGUCGAGCGAAUACGAUGCUAUGCUAAACGCGGUCUUCUUCUAAGUGAGCUCGACGAAGAAGCGCGUCAAUGGAGAAGGAGAAUGGACGAAGAUAACAACGAUGAUGAUGAUGCUGAUGACGAGGAUGAUGAGUCAGAGUCGAGAUUGAGAAUAGCGCCGGGGUCAACUGACGAAGGAAGUCCGACUUGACCGGCAUCGUUUGACCCUCGAGAUUAGUCGAUCGUGUCGCGGCAACGACCCAUUGAUCUGUGAUCAAUCGGAUUCAUUGACACGACGCGAAACGCGACGAAAAUGAAGAUUUCAGAGACUCGACAGAAUAAUAUUUAAUCUGAAAUGG
Molecule: long non-coding RNA, 653 nt
Organism: Ooceraea biroi (clonal raider ant)
Lineage: Eukaryota; Metazoa; Arthropoda; Insecta; Hymenoptera; Formicidae
Source: RefSeq, a predicted model, not a curated record